GCGUCAGUAGCGCAAACGCAGCGCGCCCACCUUCCGGGUGGGAGGUCCUGGUUCAAAUCCGGGCUGACGCU
RNAcentral lists this transfer RNA (71 nucleotides) under Streptomyces sp. TSRI0281. It matches the Rfam family "tRNA". Rfam says of the family: Transfer RNA (tRNA) molecules are approximately 80 nucleotides in length. Their secondary structure includes four short double-helical elements and three loops (D, anti-codon, and T loops). Lineage: Bacteria; Bacillati; Actinomycetota; Actinomycetes; Kitasatosporales; Streptomycetaceae. The record is from Rfam by way of RNAcentral.